Long non-coding RNA from Carassius auratus (goldfish), 327 nucleotides. RefSeq lists it as uncharacterized. The transcript has 5 exons. The record is from RefSeq and is a predicted model, not a curated record. Lineage: Eukaryota; Metazoa; Chordata; Actinopteri; Cypriniformes; Cyprinidae.
UAUUUAAAUAUAUUUUGAAAACACUUGAUGGUCACGCGCUGUACUGGAGUCACCAUGGAAACGGGGCUCAGCUCAACCGUCAAGCAGCUGAACAGACGCUGUCUCUCGUGGUUGUUUUCACUAAUUUCAGAAAUGGUCAGUGUCUUCAGAAAAAGUCCGUUAGCAUCUCAACUGUAAUGCUAACUACAAGAGUUAUUUUGAUGUCCACACUGUAAGAGUAUUAAUCGAUUCUUCCAUGCUGAUGGCCGUGCCUGUAUCCAGCUGAAGCACAUUUUUAGACAUUAUGAAGCAUAUAACUAAGACUGAAAAUCAUUGAUAAACCACAAG